Molecule: long non-coding RNA, 935 nt
Filed under: Homo sapiens (human)
Lineage: Eukaryota; Metazoa; Chordata; Mammalia; Primates; Hominidae
Description: HSALNT0145590
Source: RNAcentral
GAGCUCCAGCGGCUGCACGUGGACAGAGGGCGGAAUGCAGAUGAGGCUGCUGUGGGAUACGUCCAGGAGACUCUGGAGCGCCAGGCGCGGGGGCUCUGCACACAUGAUCUUCCUGUCCCUGGAGAUCACUUCUCCGUCGGUCUCUGAGAAAGCACCUGCUCCUUAAGUCUUCCUGCAACAAGUGCCACUGUUUUUAGGAACCUGGGCGUCCACAUAGACAUCUCACCAGCACUGAAACCUCACAAGUCCUCUCAGCCUUGCCUUUGGAUGCCCUCUCUUGGGAAUGUCCCCAGUCCUGGUCAGCUGUCUCUCUCCUUUGCAAUUUUGUCUGCCUCCCCUCAGCCUAAAAGUGUGCAGAACCCUCAAUUCUGUUAAGUCACCCUGUGGAGUUCCUGUCUUCUGUUUUCCCCAGGCAGGGUGCCUGAGCUGUAUUCCCCAGCACACCCACUCCCGCAGCCCUCCAGUGUGGCUGCAGGCGGUGGUGCAGCCUUCCAGACUGCUGCCCAGUUGCCUGAUGUCAGAGCCCCUCCACACAUGAGCCUGCUCCCUACUGCCAACACCGUGGCCCAGACAGAGACGCUUUCCGAGGAAGAGGUACCUGUGAGGCGCAGGACUUGCAGACUGGCCAGGGGCUGCAGGGCCUCUCGGCUGAUGGUGCCCAGCUGGUUCCUGCUGAGGUCCAGCAGUGCUAGGGAGGACAGCCCCGCUAGAGCCUGGUCCUCCAGCAGCUCAAUGCUGUUUUCUUGCAGGUGAAGCUCCUGCAGUCGCUGAAGUAAGGACAGCAGAUCGUGAGGAAAAAGGGCGCCGAGGUUGGGGGCAUGUCUCUCUUCUUACCAAGCUAGACUGGGUUGCCUUUUCUAACUAUUCCAGCCCUACAGGGCGAGGGGCCAUAAUGGAGUAUCCCGCCCCUUUAGACCCCAGGCGCUCACCGGCAG